This 85-nucleotide transfer RNA is filed under the name marine eukaryotic metagenome. It matches the Rfam family "tRNA". Rfam says of the family: Transfer RNA (tRNA) molecules are approximately 80 nucleotides in length. The record is from RNAcentral.
GAGGGGUGGCCGAGUGGUUGAAGGCGGCGGUCUUGAAAACCGCUGUGGGGGCAACUCCACCGUGGGUUCGAAUCCCACCCCCUCC